This 122-nucleotide ribosomal RNA is filed under the name Balamuthia mandrillaris. Lineage: Eukaryota; Discosea; Longamoebia; Balamuthiidae. The record is from RNAcentral.
GGAUACGGCCAUACUGCGGAGAAAGCACCGCUUCCCGUCCGAUCAGCGAAGUUAAGCUCCGCCAGGCGAUGUUAGUACUGGGGUGGGUGACCACCCGGGAAUCCAUCGUGCUGUAUCCUUUG